RNAcentral lists this ribosomal RNA (383 nucleotides) under uncultured fungus. RNAcentral's name for it is "eukaryotic LSU rRNA". The stretch from base 1 to 102 matches the Rfam family "5.8S ribosomal RNA", at positions 54 to 154 of the family's 154-position model. Lineage: Eukaryota; Fungi. The record is from RNAcentral.
UGCGAUAAGUAAUGUGAAUUGCAGAAUUCAGUGAAUCAUCGAAUCUUUGAACGCACCUUGCGCCCUUUGGCUAUUCUGAAGGGCAUGCCUGUUUGAGUAUCAUGAACACCUCAACUCUCGUGGUCCGCCGCGAUGAGCUUGGACUUUGGGGGUCUUGCCGGCCUAGUGUCGGCUCCUCUCAAAUGGAUCAGCCUGCCAGUGUUUGGUGGCAUCACGGGUGUGAUAACUAUCUACGCUUGUGGUUUUCCACCACGUAACCUUCAGCGAUGGAGGUUCGCUGGGGCUCACAGAUGUCUCUCCUCGGCGAGGACGGCUUUUGAACGUUUGAUCUCAAAUCAGGUAGGACUACCCGCUGAACUUAAGCAUAUCAAUAAGCGGAGGAA